GGCUGACCGGCGGCAGGAGGGCGAGGUGGGUGGGGGAAGGCCGGUAGCGACCACGUGGCGCGCCCUUCUUCCCCGUGUGCGGCUGCGGACCGGAGGUAGAAGGAGGGGUAGAGUCCGCCGGCGGCCGCGUUUCGAGGCCGGUGGCGGACGGGCUGGCGAGCGCGGCUGCGGCCACGUAGCUUCGUUAGGAGGGCAGGCGCGCGAGCUUAGUCCGCUCCCUAACCCUUCCCCCCCUGAUCUAAUGUGCCGCCUCGUGAGGCCGCUCACACUAAACCCCCUCCUCAACCUGCCUCUAGCGCUACUCGAAAAAUAAAUAAAAUCUUGAAUCUAGCGCUACUUGACCCUGACUACUUUCUCUCUCGUGCUCGUCAUUUCAUCCGGAGGCAACCCUGACACUCAGACAUAUGCCCGGCUUUCCUUCGGGCCGUGUUUCGGAGAAUUCCGGUCGGGUCCAGCCCUGUCAUUUCUCUCAUAUGACCGGGGCUGAGCUAGAGCCUUCUUUUUUAGGCCGGGGCUGGGCUGGGAGGCGGCGGCGGCGGCGAGCGUCGCGUCGGCGGAGCGGGGGCAGCCGCCUCUUCAACCGGAUCGGCGCCAGCGUGCUCCUCUACGAGCUGUAAUUGGAGAAGGCGUUCCUCUUCCCGCCGCUGGGACUCGAGCAGGCGGUCAGCGUCGCGUCGGCGAAGCGGGGGCAGCUCGAGCAGCUGCUCCAGUAGCAGGAGCUGCUCCGCACCGCGGUCUCCGUCAAGCUCGAGCUGUUCUAGGCCGUCCUCGAGUUGUUUUGGUCGUUCCUCUAGCCGUUCGAGUUCCGGUUUUUCGUCCUACGCUGCCUCGACUAUGUCUCGUGCCUCCUCUAAUUCUUCUCCGACCGGCGGUUCCUCUGGCUCCACGUCCUCCGGUUCUGGUGGGAGCUGCGGUUCGAGCAAUGGUAGCCGUUGGAGCACGUACUUAGGCACGGGUAGUCGUUGCUGCUCCGUUUGUUACGAUAAAACGCCUGUACCCCUCUCUUCUCUGACCUCCUCUUUAACUUCUUAGUACACCUAGAAACGUAUUACGAACUGUAGCACAGAAACCUAUUCCCACGACUACAUCGACCACCUUCUCCAAAGAAAAACUUCCCGCUGCCACAAGAGGACUUGGUCCGCAACUAUUUAAAACCCGAUAGUAAGGACCCUUUUGCUCUUAAAUGUGGUUACGUUUGAGGAAAAAAGUACUCUUUCCUUUAGUACCGUUUUACACGGGUCAACCGGGUUAAACUACUCCUCGAGAUGUUUCAUUGUCCACUGCCUCUCCUAUUCAUAGAGUAUCGUUGUAGCCUCGUUGGCGAUACACGAAUAGUAGAUCCACUAGCUUAAAUAGGACGUCUAAACGGCUAGUCUAUACGACCCAAGAGGUGCACGAAGGCCUUUCUUCGACCAAGUGUGCCCUCCCUGUGUCGACCGUAGAAGUCUCAGGUGGUCAAACUUUUCUAGCUCGUCAAGACGCGGUGUCCAGGUUUACUGUUACAUAGGACCCUUUACGUACUCCUCUACUAAUUCUUACGUCUUCUAAAAAUAGUCCGCUAACCCGAUGGUAUAGUUGAUCAAAGCUAACAGAGACCACGAGAAUUGCUACGUCGUCGAUUCUUCAUACUAAACCUUCGUACCAAGGGACGUAGUUUUUGGAAGGCUCUUAAUCAUAGGACAAGUUUAACGUGUCUAAUAGUCCGUUCCUCUGAACCUUAUCCGAUACCGGUCUUUUUCUUACUACUCGUUAGCUUCGUCAAACAAGUAUACAACUUAAGGUGCGACUGACGUUGACUCUCCUGGGAAACAACAUAAGACCUCUUGAUGGUCUCCCUCCCACCACAACUUCACGGUCUCCACAACGCCGGCAAGUACGAACCUUAUCUAAAGGAAGGAAAGUUCGCCGGAGAACAACUAUCGUUUGUUCGACGACGACUGAGGUUUGGGUUGUUCAGAUUUGGUUUCCCCUUACGCCGAACUCGACAUUCCCAUCGUUUUACUUUUAACAAAGGUCCGUCUAUUACUACCUAGGAAGGAAAAUAAUUAGAGACUUAGCAGACACCGUACCACUACUAAACCACAGGGUAAAACCUACAAACCAAUGUUUUAUAACGUUAGGUCCCGUGUCAAAUGGUGUUUCAUAUAAUCACAAAAAGUACUGAUAAUGUGGGUAACGUGAUUAAUUAACGAAUAUCUCUAACUUCAUCGCUAUUGAACUAAAUAAAACCAUAACGUUCGACUGCACAUUUAGCGAGCAAUGGACUCAUCGUCACCGUGAACACCCUGUCUCUACUUUUACGAUUCUAAUGGUGUACUCGGGAGUCGGAUUCCACAAGUAACGGACCAGAAGUUACGAAACACUGAACACUCGGUUAAUUUCCACCGCUAUCAAUCCCCCACUACGGUGGCGAGACAAACGAGAAACAAAUGUAACCAUUAUGGCUGAAGUAUACGCAAUCAAAAAGUAACGAGAAAACGAGAACAUAGUUG
This 2492-nucleotide ribosomal RNA is filed under the name Triticum aestivum (bread wheat). Its description in RNAcentral is "partial small subunit ribosomal RNA". The record is from RNAcentral. Lineage: Eukaryota; Viridiplantae; Streptophyta; Magnoliopsida; Poales; Poaceae.